AGCCCAAGCUUAAAACCCAAAGGACUUGACGGUGUCCCACCCACCUAGAGGAGCCUGUUCUAUAAUCGAUUAUCCCCGAUACACCCCACCACUUCUAGCCUUUCAGCCUGUAUACCUCCGUCGUAAGCUCACCAUAUGAAUGCUUUUUAGUGAGCUAAAAGAUUUCCACAUAAAUACGUCAGGUCAAGGUGCAGCCAACGAAGUGGCAAGUAAUGGGCUACAAUUUCUACAAUUAGAACACAACGAAAGACCGCAUGCAACUCGGUCAUGAAGGUGGAUUUAGAAGUAAAAAGAAAGUAGAGAGUUCUUUUUAAUUAGGCACUGGGACGCGUACACACCGCCCGUCACCCUCUUCAAACGCCUUAAUUCAGUACAUAACAAUUAUAUGCACAACAGAAGAGGUAAGUCGUAACACGGUAAGCGUACUGGAAAGUGCGCUUGGAUAAACAAAAUGUAGCUUAAUCAAAGCAUCUCGCUUACACCGAGAAUAUAUCUGUGAUACCCGGAUCAUCUUGAGCUAAAAACUUAGCUUAAUCCAUUCUAAUGUACAACCCCCCCCCCCCCCAGACCAAAUAAAACAUUUUCUACAUUUAGUAAAGGCGAUUAAAAAAUGUCUCAAAGCUAUAUAAUUAGUACCGCGAGGGAAAAGUGAAAUAAUAAUGAAAAACUUCAAGCACAUAAAAGCAGAGCUGCAACCUCGUACCUUUUGCAUCAUGGUCUAACUAGUCUAAUCAAGCAAAACGAACUUUAAGUCUGACCCCCCGAAACUAGGUGAGCUACUUAAAAACAGCCUCAUGGGCCAACCCGUCUCUGUUGCAAAAGAGUGGGAUGAUUUUUAAGUAGAGGUGAUAAACCUACCGAACCUAGAGAUAGCUGGUUAUUCAGGAAAAGGAUUUAAGUCCUACCUUAGGUUUUCUGUAUAUAUAAAUACAUUUUUAACCUUAAGAGCUAUUCAAAUAAGGUACAGCCUAUUUGAAACAGGAUACAACCUCACCUAUUGGGUAACACCUUUUAUAUUCCCUCAAGUGGGCCUAAAAGCAGCCACCUUUUAAAAAGCGUUAAAGCUUUAUUAACCGUUUGUAAAAAUUCCAUUAACUACCUGUAACCCUCAACCUGUACUGAAUGAUUUCAUAAUUUUAUGAAAACCUAUAUGUUAGAACUAGUAACAAGAAGAAGCCCUUCUCCAAAAUGUAAGCAUAAGCCAAAAUGAACCACUCAUUGGCAUUUAAAGUUAAUAAACCACAAGUAGUAACUUAACAAGAAAAAACUACUAAUUAUAACGUCAACCUUACACUAGUACAUUUCUGGAAAGACUAAAAGAAUGGGAAGGAACUCGGCAAACAAUUAACCUCGCCUGUUUACCAAAAACAUCGCCUCCUGCAUUUUAUAGGAGGUCCAGCCUGCCCAGUGACAAAGUUAAACGGCCGCGGUACCCUAACCGUGCAAAGGUAGCGCAAUCAUUUGUUCUUUAAAUGAGGACUAGUAUGAACGGCAUCACGAAGGUUAUACUGUCUCCCCACUCUAUUCAGUGAAACUGAUCUCCCCGUGAAGAAGCGGGAAUAAAAAUAUAAGACGAGAAGACCCCAUGGAGCUUUAAACUCAGUAACAACUGCUAUUUUUAAGCCUAGUAUUUACACAGCCAUGAUUACUAGUUUUUGGUUGGGGUGACCGCGGAGUAGAACUUAACCUCCAUGAUGAAAGGAAGUAUUAACCUAAACCAAGAGCGACAGCUCAAAGUAUUAAUAAAUUAACUAAUUGACCCAAUUACUUGAUCAACGAACUAAGUUACCCUGGGGAUAACAGCGCAAUCCAUUUCAAGAGCUCAUAUCGACAAAUGGGUUUACGACCUCGAUGUUGGAUCAGGGUAUCCCAGUGGCGCAGCAGCUACUAACGGUUCGUUUGUUCAACGAUUA
Molecule: ribosomal RNA, 1913 nt
Filed under: Microhyla pineticola (pine narrow-mouth frog)
Lineage: Eukaryota; Metazoa; Chordata; Amphibia; Anura; Microhylidae
Description: partial large subunit ribosomal RNA
Rfam family: Bacterial large subunit ribosomal RNA (bases 597-1913)
Source: RNAcentral